UACAGAGGUCCCAAGCGUUGUUCGGAUUCACUGGGCGUAAAGGGUGCGUAGGUGGUGGGGUAAGUCUGAUGUGAAAUCUCCGAGCUUAACUCGGAAAUGGCAUUGGAAACUACCUUGCUAGAGGUUUGGAGGGGAGACUGGAAUUCUUGGUGUAGCAGUGAAAUGCGUAGAUAUCAAGAGGAACACCGGUGGCGAAAGCGAGUCUCUGGACAAAUCCUGGCACUGAGGCACGAAAGCUAGGGGAGCAAACAGG
RNAcentral lists this ribosomal RNA (253 nucleotides) under uncultured bacterium. Its description in RNAcentral is "partial 16S ribosomal RNA". It matches the Rfam family "Bacterial small subunit ribosomal RNA", at positions 524 to 776 of the family's 1533-position model. The record is from RNAcentral.